This 266-nucleotide ribosomal RNA is filed under the name Klebsiella pneumoniae. RNAcentral describes it as "partial 16S ribosomal RNA". It matches the Rfam family "Bacterial small subunit ribosomal RNA", at positions 330 to 588 of the family's 1533-position model. Lineage: Bacteria; Pseudomonadati; Pseudomonadota; Gammaproteobacteria; Enterobacterales; Enterobacteriaceae. The record is from RNAcentral.
UCCAGACUCCUACGGGAGGCAGCAGUGGGGAAUAUUGCACAAUGGGCGCAAGCCUGAUGCAGCCAUGCCGCGUGUGUGAAGAAGGCCUUCGGGUUGUAAAGCACUUUCAGCGGGGAGGAAGGCGAUAAGGUUAAUAACCUUGUCGAUUGACGUUACCCGCAGAAGAAGCACCGGCUAACUCCGUGCCAGCAGCCGCGGUAAUACGGAGGGUGCAAGCGUUAAUCGGAAUUACUGGGCGUAAAGCGCACGCAGGCGGUCUGUCAAGU